Molecule: ribosomal RNA, 253 nt
Filed under: uncultured bacterium
Lineage: Bacteria
Description: partial 16S ribosomal RNA
Rfam family: Bacterial small subunit ribosomal RNA
Source: RNAcentral
UACAGAGGUCCCAAGCGUUAGGCGGAAUCACUGGGCUUAAAGCGUGUGUAGGCGGAUUUGUAAGUACCUUGUGAAAUCCCACGGCUUAACCGUGGAACUGCUUGGUAUACUGCUUAUCUUGGGCCACUUAGGGGUUACCGGAACAAACGGUGGAGCGGUGAAAUGCGUAGAUAUCGUUUGGAACGCCAAUGGUGAAAACAGGUAACUGGGAGUGUGCCGACGCUGAGACACGAAAGCCAGGGGAGCGAACGGG